GACGAACGCUGGCGGCGUGCUUAACACAUGCAAGUCGAACGCUGAAGCUUGGUGCUUGCACUGGGUGGAUGAGUGGCGAACGGGUGAGUAAUAAGUGAGUAACCUGCCCUUGACUCUGGGAUAAGCCUGGGAAACUGGGUCUAAUACUGGAUACGACAUGUCACCGCAUGGUGGUGUGUGGAAAGGGUUUUACUGGUUUUGGAUGGGCUCGCGGCCUAUCAGCUUGUUGGUGGGGUAAUGGCUCACCAAGGCGACGACGGGUAGCCGGCCUGAGAGGGUAACCGGCCACACUGGGACUGAGACACGGCCCAGACUCCUACGGGAGGCAGCAGUGGGGAAUAUUGCACAAUGGGCGGAAGCCUGAUGCAGCGACGCCGCGUGAGGGAUGACGGCCUUCGGGUUGUAAACCUCUUUCAGCACGGAAGAAGCGAAAGUGACGGUACGUGCAGAAGAAGCGCCGGCUAACUACGUG
RNAcentral lists this ribosomal RNA (472 nucleotides) under uncultured bacterium. RNAcentral describes it as "partial 16S ribosomal RNA". It matches the Rfam family "Bacterial small subunit ribosomal RNA", at positions 28 to 507 of the family's 1533-position model. The record is from RNAcentral.